CGUUGUAAAAUGUCGGCGAGCGGCGGACGGCUGAGUAACGCGUGGGAACGUACCCCAAAGUGAGGGAUAACGCAUCGAAAGGUGUGCUAAUACCGCAUAUGGUCUUCGGAUUAAAGCCUUCGGGCGCUUUGGGAACGGCCUGCGUAAGAUUAGAUAGUUGGUGGGGUAAUGGCCUACCAAGUCGACGAUCUUUAACUGGUUUGAGAGGAUGAUCAGUCAGACUGGAACUGAGACACGGUCCAG
RNAcentral lists this ribosomal RNA (243 nucleotides) under uncultured bacterium. RNAcentral's name for it is "partial 16S ribosomal RNA". It matches the Rfam family "Bacterial small subunit ribosomal RNA", at positions 75 to 334 of the family's 1533-position model. The record is from RNAcentral.